RNAcentral lists this ribosomal RNA (662 nucleotides) under uncultured fungus. RNAcentral describes it as "eukaryotic LSU rRNA". It matches the Rfam family "Eukaryotic large subunit ribosomal RNA", at positions 24 to 664 of the family's 3401-position model. The record is from RNAcentral. Lineage: Eukaryota; Fungi.
CCCGCUGAACUUAAGCAUAUCAAUAAGCGGAGGAAAAGAAACUAACAAGGAUUCCCCUAGUAACUGCGAGUGAAGAGGGAAAAGCUCAAAUUUAAAAUCUGGCUGUUCUUGUAAUAGUCCGAGUUGUAGUUUAGAGAAGUGUUAUCCGCGCUAGCCUGUGCAAAAGUUUCUUGGAAAAGAACAUCAUAGAGGGUGACAAUCCCGUCUUUGGCACAGAUUACUAGGGCUUUUGUGAUGCGCUCUCAACGAGUCGUGUUGUUUGGGAAUGCAGCACUAAAUGGGUGGUAAAUUCCAUCUAAAGCUAAAUAUUGGCGAGAGACCGAUAGCGAACAAGUACCGUGAGGGAAAGAUGAAAAGAACUUUGAAAAGAGAGUUAAACAGUACGUGAAAUUGUUGAAAGGGAAACGCUUGAAGUCAGUCAUAUCUAUCAGGGAUCAAGUUGCCUUUGGGUGACCGUACUUUCUGUUAGAUAGGUCAGCAUCAAUUUUGACUGUUGGAUAAAGGCCUAAGGAAUGUGGCAUCUUCGGAUGUGUUAUAGACUUUGGUCGGAUACAACGGUUGGGAUUGAGGAACUCAGUGUGCCUUUAUGGUUGGGGCUUUGCUCACAUCGCGCACUUAGGAUGCUGGCAUAAUGGCUUUAAUCGACCCGUCUUGAAACACGG